RNAcentral lists this ribosomal RNA (415 nucleotides) under Citrobacter freundii. Its description in RNAcentral is "bacterial SSU rRNA". It matches the Rfam family "Bacterial small subunit ribosomal RNA", at positions 82 to 493 of the family's 1533-position model. The record is from RNAcentral. Lineage: Bacteria; Pseudomonadati; Pseudomonadota; Gammaproteobacteria; Enterobacterales; Enterobacteriaceae.
CCUUGGGUGACGAGUGGCGGACGGGUGAGUAAUGUCUGGGAAACUGCCCGAUGGAGGGGGAUAACUACUGGAAACGGUAGCUAAUACCGCAUAACGUCGCAAGACCAAAGAGGGGGACCUUCGGGCCUCUUGCCAUCGGAUGUGCCCAGAUGGGAUUAGCUAGUAGGUGGGGUAACGGCUCACCUAGGCGACGAUCCCUAGCUGGUCUGAGAGGAUGACCAGCCACACUGGAACUGAGACACGGUCCAGACUCCUACGGGAGGCAGCAGUGGGGAAUAUUGCACAAUGGGCGCAAGCCUGAUGCAGCCAUGCCGCGUGUAUGAAGAAGGCCUUCGGGUUGUAAAGUACUUUCAGCGAGGAGGAAGGCGUUGUGGUUAAUAACCGCAGCAAUUGACGUUACUCGCAGAAGAAGCAC